AUGUUCCCAUGAGUUCCCUUUAACGCUUCAUUGUUAAUACUCAAAAACCACAUUUAUAUUUUCUUAAAUGUUUUGAUUGAUUUGUAUAUAACACUGAAGUGUUUGGGGGGGACUCUUGGUACCAU
MicroRNA precursor from Arabis alpina (gray rockcress), 125 nucleotides. It matches the Rfam family "mir-395 microRNA precursor family". From Rfam's summary of the family: mir-395 was identified in both Arabidopsis thaliana and Oryza sativa computationally and was later experimentally verified. mir-395 is thought to target mRNAs coding for ATP sulphurylases. The mature sequence is excised from the 3' arm of the hairpin. NCBI's taxonomy places the organism in Eukaryota, Viridiplantae, Streptophyta, Magnoliopsida, Brassicales, Brassicaceae. The record is from Rfam.